CAGAUAUAUAUGGUGUUGAUUGGUGAGGAUGUUGAGGUCAACCGUACUCUGUUACGGAGGUGCAACUAUAGUCAACCGACAAAGCUGGUCUGUGAUCUUCUAGCAGCUAUUUUUAGCCGCGAUGAGUUGGCCACUCACUCCUUAACUGGCCAAAGAAACUCCUUAACACCAAGAAAGUCAAUGCUAUUUUUGUUUAUACCCUGAGCAAAUUUCAAGCUGUGCCACUAAAGGAGCUGAAAGGAGCAGCAUGUACGAAGCUAAACAAUUGAAAGUAAGCUCUACAGGAA
Long non-coding RNA from Acipenser ruthenus (sterlet), 287 nucleotides. RefSeq lists it as uncharacterized. The transcript is spliced from 3 exons. Lineage: Eukaryota; Metazoa; Chordata; Actinopteri; Acipenseriformes; Acipenseridae. The record is from RefSeq and is a predicted model, not a curated record.